This 73-nucleotide transfer RNA is filed under the name Paragonimus heterotremus. It matches the Rfam family "tRNA". From Rfam's summary of the family: Transfer RNA (tRNA) molecules are approximately 80 nucleotides in length. Their secondary structure includes four short double-helical elements and three loops (D, anti-codon, and T loops). Further hydrogen bonds mediate the characteristic L-shaped molecular structure. tRNAs have two regions of fundamental functional importance: the anti-codon, which is responsible for specific mRNA codon recognition, and the 3' end, to which the tRNAs corresponding amino acid is attached (by aminoacyl-tRNA synthetases). tRNAs cope with the degeneracy of the genetic code in two manners: having more than one tRNA (with a specific anti-codon) for a particular amino acid; and 'wobble' base-pairing, i.e. permitting non-standard base-pairing at the 3rd anti-codon position. The record is from Rfam by way of RNAcentral. Lineage: Eukaryota; Metazoa; Platyhelminthes; Trematoda; Plagiorchiida; Troglotrematidae.
GCCUCCGUAGCUCAGUGGUUAGAGCACUGGUCUUGUAAACCAGGGGUCGGGAGUUCGACCCUCCCCGGGGGCA